UGAAAAUCUGAACAGCCAAGAUCUCUAAGAUGUGUUUGAAUAGAAAUGUCUUGGUAGAUGGCAUAAUUACUGCAGCCAACUCCACAAAACCUGAUUCUGUCUGGGCCGCACUUGGAGGGUUGAGAUGCAGGCGCUCAUCAAGGAAAUCCAUCAAGGGAGAGGCGGAAACAAUGGGGAGAUAAUCCGAGAAAUUUCCAUCACGGCGAAAGAGUUUCACUCUUGGUACUUUCAUUCAUGAAAAUAGGAAUUUUAAUUUUGAGGCUCUUUAUAUAGCCAAGUAUGCUUGUAAUCUAGCAUUAGGUCGUCAUUUGUUGUGAGGUGCUCCCCCUGACCAAGUUCUUGUACCCUUACACAUUGAUCAAUAAAGGUUACGAGAAUUCUAAAAAAAAAGGAGGUGUUGGCUUUUUUUCUCCGUA
Long non-coding RNA from Triticum dicoccoides, 416 nucleotides. RefSeq lists it as uncharacterized. Lineage: Eukaryota; Viridiplantae; Streptophyta; Magnoliopsida; Poales; Poaceae. The record is from RefSeq and is a predicted model, not a curated record. The transcript has 3 exons.